UCAGGACGAACGCUGGCGGCGUGCCUAACACAUGCAAGUCGAGCGAGGAGAUCCUUCGGGAUGAUCCUAGCGGCGGACGGGUGAGUAACACGUCGGGCAACCUGCCUCAUAGAGAGGAAUAGCCUUCCGAAAGGGAGAUUAAUACCUCAUAACAUUGCAGUUUCGCAUGGAACAGCAAUUAAAGGAGCAAUCCGCUAUGAGAUGGGGCCCGCGGCGCAUUAGCUAGUUGGUGAGGUAACGGCUCACCAAGGCGACGAUGCGUAGCCGACCUGAGGGGUGAUCGGCCACAUUGGGACUGAGACACGGCCCAGACUCCUACGGGAGGCAGCAGUGGGGAAUAUUGCACAAUGGGGGAAACCCUGAUGCAGCCAACGCCGCGUGAGUGAUGACGGCCUUCGGGUUGUAAAGCUCUGUCUUCAGGGACGAUAAUGACGGUACCUGAGGAGGAAGCCACGGCUAACUACGUGCCAGCAGCAGC
This 478-nucleotide ribosomal RNA is filed under the name uncultured bacterium. RNAcentral describes it as "bacterial SSU rRNA". It matches the Rfam family "Bacterial small subunit ribosomal RNA", at positions 24 to 518 of the family's 1533-position model. The record is from RNAcentral.